RNAcentral lists this ribosomal RNA (252 nucleotides) under uncultured bacterium. RNAcentral describes it as "partial 16S ribosomal RNA". It matches the Rfam family "Bacterial small subunit ribosomal RNA", at positions 524 to 776 of the family's 1533-position model. The record is from RNAcentral.
UACGAGUGGCCCGAGCGUUAAUCGGAAUCACUGGGCUUAAGGGUGCGCAGGCGGCCCGGCAGGCAUCUCGUGAACUCCCCCGGCUCAACCGGGGAACUGCGGGGUGAACCGCCGGGCUUGAGGCAGGUAGGGGCUGACGGAACCAUGAGUGGAGCGGUGAAAUGCGUAGAUAUUCAUGGGAACGCCGAUGGGGAAGCCGGUCAGCUGGGCCUGUCCUGACGCUCAGGCACGACAGCGUGUGGAGCAAACAGG